UUCUUCAUGUUUAUGUCUGUUACAUAGUUAUGCUGGGUUAAUAUUUGUGUGUGCAGAUAUCUAAACUCAGGAAUCUGAGUGGUUGUUCUGUUGCCCUGCUGGCCCCAUGAAAGCUGAUGCUUUACCAUAUUUGGUUGUGAUAUUUACACUACUGUACUUUAAGUUAAAAAUGGUAAUAAUUUCCAAAAUGUAAUUUUUUUUUUUGUUCUUUUCUUACAUAAUGUGUCUCCCUCCCUGUCAGGGACUGGCAGUUCUGCAAAUGCUGUUAGUGACAGCAUCCGUAGGACAACAGUGUAGGUGGUGUCCUCUGGAGGUCCUUCACCUGCAUGGAGCUAAGUCCACCUGUUGCAAUACUUGAAUGCCCAAUGAGCACUCUUAGAUGCAUCCUGAUGCUUCCUCCUCUGGGCAGCAAUGACUGCUGCCACUGCUGCUGCUUGAUCAAGGAGUGAGGAUCCACACUUCCAGAUUCUAACAAUGCAACACCAGACAUCCCUGUAAAGGAUUGACAUUGAUGAUUGACAAAUUUAAAACCCUUUGAGGGAAUGAAAUGCAAUAAAACUCAAGUGAAGACA
Scylla paramamosain (green mud crab) is the source of this 572-nucleotide long non-coding RNA. RefSeq lists it as uncharacterized. The record is from RefSeq and is a predicted model, not a curated record. The transcript has 2 exons. NCBI's taxonomy places the organism in Eukaryota, Metazoa, Arthropoda, Malacostraca, Decapoda, Portunidae.